GGGGUUGUGGCUCAGUGGUAGAGCACUUGCCUAGCAUGUAUGAGGCACUGGGUUCAAUCCUCAGCACCA
This is a non-coding RNA of Ictidomys tridecemlineatus (thirteen-lined ground squirrel), 69 nucleotides long. The record is from Rfam. Lineage: Eukaryota; Metazoa; Chordata; Mammalia; Rodentia; Sciuridae.